UGAGGAAUAUUGGUCAAUGGACGCAAGUCUGAACCAGCCAAGUAGCGUGCAGGAUGACGGCCCUAUGGGUUGUAAACUGCUUUUAUAUGGGGAUAAAGUGGGGAACGUGUUCCCUUUUGCAGGUACCAUAUGAAUAAGGACCGGCUAAUUCCGUGCCAGCAGCCGCGGUAAUACGGAAGGUUCGGGCGUUAUCCGGAUUUAUUGGGUUUAAAGGGAGCGUAGGCCGUUUGGUAAGCGUGUUGUGAAAUGUAGGAGCUCAACUUCUAGAUUGCAGCGCGAACUGUCAGACUUGAGUGCGCACAACGUAGGCGGAAUUCAUGGUGUAGCGGUGAAAUGCUUAGAUAUCAUGAAGAACUCCGAUUGCGAAGGCAGCUUACGGAAGCGAAACUGACGCUGAAGCUCGAAGGUGCGGGUAUCGAACAGG
This 424-nucleotide ribosomal RNA is filed under the name Verrucomicrobiota bacterium. RNAcentral's name for it is "Verrucomicrobia bacterium partial 16S ribosomal RNA". It matches the Rfam family "Bacterial small subunit ribosomal RNA", at positions 355 to 776 of the family's 1533-position model. The record is from RNAcentral. Lineage: Bacteria; Pseudomonadati; Verrucomicrobiota.